AUGUGCUGCCGGCCCGGGCUCCAUGAGCGUGGCGGGCACUUUGCAGUCUCGGGUGUUCCUGCCCGGUCUUCUGUUCCUAAACUGCAGCAAAGGGAAAAGGAACUGAAAAAGGCAGGCUCGUCGUUGCAAUAUCACCAAAAGAGAAAAUUAACGGCAUGCCAUCAGGACCACAGCAGUUGGAGAAACAACUCUUUAUCCCGGCUUGCAGCCACGAGGUCUUGAUUGGGGGAGGGGUGGUGAAGAAUAGUCUGUGGGCUGCUUUUUUUUUUUCCUUUUACUGGAGCUGUACAGUGGAGUCGGUGAUUGCUGCUGAUCAUAAUCAAGUAUUUUAGGAGCUUAUUUAGACAUGUAUCUGAUAGCUAAGGAUUUUUCAACUUUAUUCUCUUACGUAUUUUUCAACUGUAAAUUAUUGGGCUUUUAAAUCCUGCUAGUAUUGCUCGACUCUUACUCUCACAAAUGGAUGGAAUUAAUUGCUGUUAGGAGGUUGGAAAAUAGCAAAUAUAGAUUUGGACGGUGGUAGUAAUUUUGAGCAAAUAAUGUUUUAUCUUUUUUUUCCUUAUUUUUCCCUAUUCCAGUCAUACACGUGGACCUAACUGCACCAGUAGCUUUUCUGAGAAUACUUGCUGAAAAGGAAGUUUUCUGGAAUGGGUAAGUGUAUUCUGAUUUUCUUGAACUUUUCUUAAAAACAAAUUUUUCUUGCUAUUAAAGUUGAAUAAAUAGGAUUGGUUUCUUAGAGAGUAAAAGUAGGUGUUUCUUUCUUUAGACAAUGUACCUUUUCUGAAAAACUAACUCAUUAAGUACGGAUUUGCUAAUUUUAAGGUAGUAAAAUUACAGUGUAAAUAUUCCUGUACAUUUUUGGAAACUGGCUUAUGCAGUUUACGAAAUAUAAUUUUAGACCCUCUUUUAAGUUGGGUGAUAAAGUAGAUAUAACCUGAGAUGAUAGAUUUAAACAGGAUAUUUACGUUCUGCUACAAUUGACUGAUAACACUUGAAGUGUAGUCUGAACAGUAAUUUUGUUAAUCAUUUCAACAAGUAUUUGCUAAGUGGAAGCCAGAAGAGGAGGAAAAUGUUUUGCCACGUGGAUGUGAAGAUUUCCUCAUAUCUUUGAGAUAAUUAAACUAAUUUUUUCUUCCCCAUUAGGGAUUAUGCUGAAUUUGUAUGGUUUAUAGUUGUUAGAGUUUGAGGUGUUAAUUCUAAUUAUCUAUUUCAAAUUUAGCAGGAAAAAAGAGAACAUCACCUUGUAAAACUGAAGAUUGUGACCAGUCAGAAUAAUGUCAAAGUGCUUACAGUGCAGGUAGUGAUAUGUGCAUCUACUGCAGUGAAGGCACUUGUAGCAUUAUGGUGACAGCUGCCUCGGGAAGCCAAGUUGGGCUUUAAAGUGCAGGGCCUGCUGAUGUUGAGUGCUUUUUGUUCUAAGGUGCAUCUAGUGCAGAUAGUGAAGUAGAUUAGCAUCUACUGCCCUAAGUGCUCCUUCUGGCAUAAGAAGUUAUGUAUUCAUCCAAUAAUUCAAGCCAAGCAAGUAUAUAGGUGUUUUAAUAGUUUUUGUUUGCAGUCCUCUGUUAGUUUUGCAUAGUUGCACUACAAGAAGAAUGUAGUUGUGCAAAUCUAUGCAAAACUGAUGGUGGCCUGCUAUUUCCUUCAAAUGAAUGAUUUUUACUAAUUUUGUGUACUUUUAUUGUGUCGAUGUAGAAUCUGCCUGGUCUAUCUGAUGUGACAGCUUCUGUAGCACUAAAGUGCUUAUAGUGCAGGUAGUGUUUAGUUAUCUACUGCAUUAUGAGCACUUAAAGUACUGCUAGCUGUAGAACUCCAGCUUCGGCCUGUCGCCCAAUCAAACUGUCCUGUUACUGAACACUGUUCUAUGGUUAGUUUUGCAGGUUUGCAUCCAGCUGUGUGAUAUUCUGCUGUGCAAAUCCAUGCAAAACUGACUGUGGUAGUGAAAAGUCUGUAGAAAAGUAAGGGAAACUCAAACCCCUUUCUACACAGGUUGGGAUCGGUUGCAAUGCUGUGUUUCUGUAUGGUAUUGCACUUGUCCCGGCCUGUUGAGUUUGGUGGGGAUUGUGACCAGAAGAUUUUGAAAAUUAAAUAUUACUGAAGAUUUCGACUUCCACUGUUAAAUGUACAAGAUACAUGAAAUAUUAAAGAAAAUGUGUAACUUUUUGUGUAAAUACAUCUUGUCUUGUUUUCAUUCAAAAACAUUUCACUUUUGGGGUUGCGUGUCAGAUUUGGCAGUAUAAAUUCUGGCUAUAUUUUUUGUUGUUAGAUUUAUUUGGCUGUUAAGUAUUGCGAUAUGACUAAACAUACUGUAUACCUGAUGAUCAUCUGUAAAGUUAGAGUAUAUCUUUUUGCUUUCUUUGGAGUUAGUGUUAUUCCAGGAUAUUUUACUUAAUCUAAAAGUUAAUUUAUGUUGCUCAUAUAUUACUCAAGUAUUUAAAUUUAGAGAGAAUGCCGCUCUGUUUAAAGCAAUGUGUAAAGAUGAGUUUUUUUAAGCAUGGAAUUUAGGGUUGGGGUACAAUUUGUUUCUAUUAAGCAAGUACCAGUUUACCAAUACAUGAGUAACUGAAGUGUAACUGUUAAAUGCUUGUAUACUAGUUUUUCUUUCUGAUUGUCAGUGAUUUAUAAGCUAUAAAUGACCAAGGUCCUCAGACUGCUUUUAGCAUCUGCAACUUAAAAAAAUGGGAGUUAGAAAAAGAACAAAUGCUAAAUAGAGUAACAGUUAAAUGUAUGUGUACACUCUUCCCAAAUGCCAAGAGUGCAGCGGUGGGGUGAGAUUCAGAUAUUCAUUUAUUUCUAAGUCUGUAGUUAACAUUUAUGUUCCCUACUCCCUACGUAAGCCAGACUUUGGCAACAGUGAUAGUUGAUUCCAGGCUUAUUUGACUUAAAGUCACUGAAGUGGAAACUAAGAAGUGGCAGUUAGUGUUUUACCCAGCAUUUCUGCCUUCUCUCUUUUCUUCAUGUGUUUUUGUCUCUAGCCUAUGUGUAUUUGUGUAGAAUAAUGUGGGAUACCUGAAUAAUAGAUUUAAAAGGACCAAGUGGUAAAAUUGGGCCCAAGCUGAAGUACAGGCAAACUUGAUGUUUGAAAGAUAAGUUUUGAGAAAUGUCAUUGUAUUUUGGAGUAAAAGAGGCUAUCUUAGUAAUAAGAAAUAAACUUCCAUAACACUAGGUUAGACCACCCAAUAAAUCUAGAAAUCAGCUUUUAAAAAUAUUGUCUGAAGUCUAACAAAAGUUUUCACCUCUAAUGUGUUCUUUAAGAAAUUUAAGGAACUUAGCCUUGGAUUCCUGAAUAGAAAGGUAAGAAUUCUAUCAUUCUGGAGUUGAUGAAAACAUAAAUUUUCAGGAUGUGAAAUGAACAGUGAUUUAUAAAAUGGAAAUCAAAUUGUACAUUAGCAGAGUUCUUAAGCUUUUUGAAUUGAAGGAGACCUAAUAAUUGUGUCUUUUUGGUUAUUUAGUGACAAACGUGGCUUUCAAACUAUGCUUAAAAAGUUCCGGCUGGACACGGUGGCUCACACCUAUAAUCCUAGCACUUGGGGAGGCUGAGGCAGACGGAUUACCUGAGGUCAGGAGUUCGAGACCAACCUGGCCGACAUGGUGAAACGCUGUCUCUACUAAAAAUAUAAAAAAUUAGCCGGGUGCAGUGGCGUGCACCUGUAAUCCCAGCUACUCUGGAGGCUGAGGCAGGAGAAUCACCUGAACCUGGGAGGUGGAGGUUUCAGUGAGCUGAGAUCCUGCCACUGCACUCCAGCCUGGGCGCAAGACCAAGACUUAAACGCAAAAAAAAAAAAAAAAAAAAAAAAAAAGUUUCAUAAUACAGCAUGGUCUGGUAGUUUGCAAAAUGGUGUGCUUUUGGGGAGAUACACUAGCAAUUUUUUUAAAAACUGGAACAGUGUGAUAGGAAGCCUGCUGGAUGAUUUCUUAAAUAUUCUAAAAUGUAAGUCAAAUAUGUUUUAAUAACAAAGACUUAAAUGGCUUUUCUCCCUAGAGACUGAAACUAGUAUUCAUUGUGUUCAGAACUUAAUUGGGCUUGAACUGAGAUUUAAAUCUAAUAAACAAGUUAAUAAAUGUGUAUGUUUUGUUGUGGGUUUGGUAGUGAUCUGUGGUUCUAUAGGGUUUAAUAGGAAUUGCUUUUGAUUUGUUUCUGGCUUUAGAAUGUGAGGCAAAUUUUACAUUCUUGGUUCUAUUAAGAUUUUCUUAGGCAUGCUAACAUGCCAACAAAAAGCCAUGUAAGUAUUGUAUAAAAAGAUUCACAUUGUUAAUUUAGCCAUUUUGAAAUUCAGAUGAGUGAGCAAGUUGAUAAUGGCCUCAUCUCUGACCUGAGAAAAAACAACUUUGACCCUUGUUCUUAAAAUGCUUUAACCUUGAAGUUGCUUGAGACUUAAGAGGUCAUGUUGCUUUAGGUUUAAUAAAUAGCCUUAACUAUUUGGAGGGGAAAAAAUGGGUCAACUUUUUUUUUUUUUUUUGGCGUUUGCAUGUACAACUUUCUAUUUUUAGCCUAUAUUUGGAAAGAAAGCACUUAACAUUUUAGGAAUUCUUUUUAAAGCUGCUUGCAAAGUGUUGGUGAUUUUACUGAAAACUUUUGAGAUCUUCAUUUUACAGGCAGACCUGUCUAACUACAAGCCAGACUUGGGUUUUCUCCUGUAGUUUGAAGACACACUGACUCCUGACAAAAUGCAGCCUGCAACUUCCUGGAGAACAACUCAGUGUCACAUUAAAGUUUAUUAUGUAUUUAAUGAUACACUGUUUAAUUGACAGUUUUGCAUAGUUUGUCUAACUUUAGAGAAUUAAGAGCCUCUCAACUGAGCAGUAAAGGUAAGGAGAGCUCAAUCUGCACAGAGCCAGUUUUUAGUGUUUGAUGGAAAUAAGAUCAUCAUGCCCACUUGAGACUUCAGAUUAUUCUUUAGCUUAGUGGUUGUAUGAGUUACAUCUUAUUAAAGUCGAAAUUAAUGUAGUUUUCUGCCUUGAUAACAUUUCAUAUGUGGUAUUAGUUUUAAAGGGUCAUUAGGAAAAUGCACAUAUUCCAUGAAUUUUAAGACCCAUAGAAAAGUUGAAGAAUGCUUAAUUUUCUUAUCCAGUAAUGUAAACACAGAGACAGAACAUUGAGAUGUGCCUAGUUCUGUAUUUACAGUUUGGUCUGGCUGUUUGAGUUCUAGCGCAUUUAAUGUUAAUAAAUAAAAUACUGCAUUUUAAAGCUGUUAAGAAAUUGUCCAGAACGAGAAUAUUGAAAUAAAAACUUCAAGGUUAUUAUCGCAGUUUUUAUGGCGUUUUUGUUUUGUCACUACAGAUGGUCUAAAGGUUACUUAUUAAUUAAUUGGGGAAGUGGAGACAAGGACCAAAGUUUAUCUGGAUUUUCUUAUUUAAUCUUCAUUACCUGUGAAAUAUGUAUUUGUAUUCUUACUUUACAUAUGAGAUCAGAAGUUCAUUUUCAAGCAGAAUGGAAAGGUGGUAAAUGGACUCUGAAUUAAAAUAUGUCAGUAUUUUAAAAGGUUAUCUUCUGCCUAGUAUUUUUAUGGAAUCUGACAAGUUCUCAGAUCACACUUGUUUCCUUAAAUCUUGGUAAGUCUGAAGCAUUCUUCAUUUUGUUUAUAUUAUACACGUUAGUAAGGUGGGAGUUCUUUUGUUUUUUGUGUUUUUUGGCCAGUUGAUAACAUGAAAGUUUAAGAGAGGAGGCCAAAGUAUAUAAAAAGUCUUAAACUCCUGCUUCUAAUAAAUGUCCAAUAUGUGUUGGCUCCUGGGUUGAGUGUUUAUUAAUGGGUCUGUACUAACUCUAAAACAUUAAAUAAGAAUGGUAUGUUCUGACCAGCCCUCAAAGUUCAGCCAUUUCUAAAAGUUCAAAAAAUCAUUGUAAAUAUUUUUUAAAUGAGGUACGAGAUUGUACCUGUCUAUGGCCAGUAACACAAGAAAUCUAGGCUCAUGCAGAGUUUUAGCAUAGUUGACCCUCAGUAUCAGUGGAGGGAUUGGUAGGACCCUCAGUGCAUACCAAAUUCUUCAGGUGCUCAAGUCCCUUAUGUAAAGUGGUGCAGUGUUUGCAUGUAAAUCUAUACAUGUCUUCUUGUAUGCUUUAAGCUGUCUAUAUAUUGCUUGAAUAAUCUGGUAAAAUAUCUUACAUAUUAUUCAUGUAGAUUCAGUAUAGUAUUUGCGUGUGGCAAAUUCAGGUUUGGCUUUUGGGGACUUCGUGAGAUUUUUUUUCCUGAGUAUUUUCAGUCUGUUUGUGGUUGGAUGCAGGAACCACAGAUACAUAGGGCUAACUUAAGUAAGUGCCGACAUAAAUGCGUUAGUCAUAGAGGUAAAUAACAAAGACCUGAGUUUGGUAGUAAGUUCCCCGAAAUGAAAUGUUAGUAUACUCCUAAGUGAUUAGUAAUUAGAUCUCAGGUUGAAUAUACUAAAUCCUUAAUAACUGCAUGUUUACUUUUAAGACCUAGAUUUGUCAGUAUAUUAGUAGAGGUGAGCAUGUACUAAUUGUUCACACUUGUUUAUAAAAGCAUAUAUACUGUGAAUUUUUAGUACGUUUAAUGUUGACUUCAACUUACAUAGACUGAAAAAGAUUGAAAAAAAGCUUCGACGACAUCAGUUCUGCACUUGUUGAGAUGUACUGAUCCAGAUGGAAUACCACACUGUUCAGCAGGUUGGGGUAACUAGAUGAGACUAGUGAAUGUUCCAAGAGUAGAUGAAAAUUGGGGUCCUGUAAGGUGGUGCUAGGAAUUCUAAAGUGAUUAUGCAUUUACCAAGAAAAGGUUCUUAACCAGUUGUCUUAAAAUUAUUAAGACGUAAAGACCUGGAAUCUUAAUCUAGCUGCACUAUAUUAGAGUCUUUGGGGCAGGAUGCUGCGCAGACAAGUAUUUUGAGAAAUACCUGUUGAUUUUGCUGUAUAUACUUAAGGAUAUAUCUACUACCCUGAAUUGUUGGAAAUGCUGAGCCAUAGGAAUGCAGAAGAACAUCAAAACACCUUAGAAUUUAUAUGCAGGAAAGAGACCAGUAAACUAUUUUUAUGGUUCAUGCAGUCAUUACUCAGUUUUAUAGCUGACUGACAAAAUAUGUGCCCCAACCCCACAUUUAUUUCUAAAUCCACAGGCUUUUCCUUACUCUUCAAUUUCAGUAACUUCCCUUUUUCUUCUCCAAUGAUACUUUGUUUUGGUAACAGCACCUAACAGGCCAGGUGUGUAGUUGUCUUUGUGCUAUACCUGUAUUUCCUUGGUUGGCUACUGUCACAGUGGCCACCAUCAUUCUGAACAAGUAAGGUGCACAAGGUACAAGCCAUGUCUUUAGACAUAGGUUAUCGUCAGCAUUUAGAUUCUCCUCUAAGGCUUUCAUCUAAAACUCCCUUGGUUUUGUGUUUAAAACUUAGUCCACAGUUUUCUAGUGUUACCCUCAGAAUAAUUGUCAAAAUUGUACUUUCUAAUACUCAAGAUUGCAUCUAAAUUUCAAGUUAGAAAAGAUGUUUAUGCCAUAUUCUGAGUGUCUUGUGUUUAUAACCUAUGAUUCUGCCCUUGACUGUACUUACGAAUACUCCUUUUAAAAUACGAAACUUGAUUGAGACCCCAGCUCAUUUACUGAUGUCUUAAUACAACUGCCUUUCCACUUAAGUGUUUUGGCUCCCCCAGUUCCUAUCAUUUAUCCUCUCCAGGCAGACUUCCACUUCAGACUGCAUUUGCUAUUCCCUUAGUUUGGGAACUUCCCACUCCGGAUACCUAUGACUUAGUCUUGUUUCCUUGUAGUCCUUGUACACAGAUGUCAGACUGGCUCUCCCUUAAACUGCAUACUCUGUUCCUGUUCUCUGCAUCAUCAUCCUGAAUUAGUGGCAUCACCUGGGAUAUUGGAAGUGCAGGUCCUUCCCACCCCCUUCCAAACCUGAAUUGGGAGCUUCGUUUUUUAAUCCCCCCAAUUAAUCUCUAAGAUAUAAGGCCUCCAAGGGCAAAGAUUUGAAGAUGUGUGGUUCAUGGAUGCUUAUUCAACAUCUAAAAUGGUACCUGGUGUGUAGAAGGCACUGAAUAGACUGAACAGGUAAGUGGAAAUGCCCGUGGGUGAAUGUUACUUCUAGGAUGAGACGGUCUGAAAGAGAAAAGCAAAACAAGACUAGUAUGGGGGCAAAGUGCAUUAUUGACGGUGUGGUAAAAAGUCAUUAGAGCAACGUUGGUGGAGCAAGAAAACAGAGUAAGUAAAAAGGAUUUGCUGUGUACAGUAAUCCCAGCAAAAAUGAAGGAAAGCCUAGAAGUGGGGGAUCAAGAAAAAAACCAACUGAUAGAUGCUCCAUUUGUGUGGAUAUGUAAUGUUCAUCUGUUGGAAGUAAAUGUAAAACCCAGCUUCUAAAUCUCAGAAAGCAACUGACAGCAGCAAUAGGGUGAAUGUGAAAGCACUGAACAAAGUAACAAAAGUGCUGAGAAGUUGUGCUUUGUGACAGAUUAGUUUUCAUGAUGUUGCGUGGAUGUGAGAAGGCUCUGCUAAUAGGUAUAGUCAGGUGUGUUUUUUUUUUCGGUUUGGUUUGUUCUCUGUAUUACUUUGAAAUUUAGACUAUCAAGUACCAGAAUACUAUAGUUUUCUAACUCAGGUUCACUCCCUGCAGAAGGUUCAGGAGUACAAGAAGCCCUGCACUGAAUCGUGGUGCCUCAAUUAAAUUUUGAGUUGUCCUUUUGGCUUCCUGAGACAAAACAACGUGUUAAACCAGUUACUUCGAGUGUGUGACAUGAGAAGAUGGAUGAUGAUAAAGAGAAGUUGAGAAAGGCACCUCAGAUUAAUUUUAGGAAACAAAUGUAAACUAAACUUGAAUUCUAUUCUCUUUGAGUCAUGUAAUACUUGGCUAAUCGGUUGAGAAGCUUAAAGAACUAUUUAAGAAGUCUUACAGUGUAAUGUUUAGGACGGAGAAUUCUGGGUUCAAGUACCAGUUUCCUCCAUUAAUAGCUUAGGCAACUUAAGUGUGUUGUCUUUCCCCAAAAAUUGUAAGCUUAGGUAGGCUUUCCCAUCUUGAUCAAAAAGGUAGCUAUCAUGUUCACAUCCAGCUGGAAAAUAAACCUUUCCUCAACUUCAAAGUGAAUUUUCAGCUCCACUCUGCCCACCUGAACUCGGUCUGAGGAACAAGAUUACAUUCAGGCUUGAGCUUUGUGUACCAUCUCUGUUGACAGUACCACUGAAAGUCUGUUCCCUUCCUGAAGCACACAGGAUACCUAGGCAGGUUGGUGGCAUGGAUAACUGAAAGAUGAGAAUACAAUAUUAACAUUUGGGGGCACAUAGAUUUUAGUGAGGGUAGAGAUGGAAGAGAGGAAGGGAGAGGAUUUUCAUUAAGUUGAUAACUUGAGCACAAGUCUAAGGCAAACAUUGUCAGGCCUCUGUUAUUCAACCGCACUUGGCAAGGCUGAUGCAGCUGCUGCUUAUAGGUCUUGGCUAAAAUAUUACUUCCUCAAAGCCUUUUCUGACUGCCCUCCCCUAUUCAGUUAAUCUCUGCCAUGUUUUAUUCAAAGUACUUAACUACAAUUUAUAGUUAUGUGUAUUUGGAUAUUUUGUUAUUUUGAAUUCAUUACAUUACUGCUUUUAACAAAUUGCCACAAACUUUUUUUGUUGUUUGAGACAGUCUUGCUCUGUCACCCAGGCUGGAGUUCAGUGACCCAAUCAGCUCACUGCAACCUCUGCCUCCUGGGUUCAAGCGAUUCUCCUGCCUCAGCCUCCCCAGUAGCUGGGAUUACAGAUAUGCUUGCACCAGCACGCCUGGCUAAUUUUUGUAUUUUUAGUAGAGAUGGGGUUUCACCAUGUUGGCCAGGCUGGUCUCAAACUCCUGACCUUGUGAUCUGCCCACCUCGGGCUCCCAAAGGCCGCAAACUUUUAAUGGCUUGAAAUCUUACAGUUCUGUAGGUCAGGAGUCUUGACACAGGUCCCACUAGGUUACAAUUAAGGUGUCAGCAGGGCUGUAUUAGUCCCUAGAGUCUUUAGGGGAGGCAAGGUUUUUUUUUUUUAUCUUUUCAAGCUUCUGAAGACUCUGCCUUUGGCUCACGGUCUCUUACUCCAUCUUCAUAUCUAGCAGCAGCAGGUGGCGUCUGCAUCACACUGGACCCCUCUUACCUCCCUCUUUCACUUUUAAGGACCCUUGUGAUUAAUAUUGAGCCCAUCCAAAUAUUUAGAAAUAAUUUAUUUUAAGGUCAGCUCAUUGGCAGUCUUAAUUCCCCUUGUAACAUUUCACAUUUGCAGGUUCUAGGAUUAGGACUUGGAUAUUGUUGGAGGUCAUUCUGCCUGUCUUAGGGAAUUGUGUUGGUUUUGGACAUGGUUAUAGUUCCAGGCAUACAUAACUGCUUAGAGUUGUUUUCAGACAGCGUAAGUGAAAUGAAUGAGCUAAGGAAAAUACUUAAUCCAAUAAAAAAUAGAACAUACUCGGGCUGUCUCAAUGUUUUCCUACGGUAUUUAAGUGCCAGUUUAUGGAGGUUUUAAAGAAAAGAUUUUCUCAGACGAGAAGAGCUUAUAAUAUACUUCCUGCAAACAUUCUAGAAAAUGUAGGUCCUUAUCAGUCAACCUUCAGAAUGGGGAAACCACAAAAUAAGUGAAAUUUUGUUAACCUAUCUAAGUAAACAUUAAAGAGUUGCUUUUAGAAAUGACACAAUGUAAAGAGACCAUCAGGGUCUAAAACCUCAUUAGCCAGAACUGGAAAAUGAGCUUUUAAAUACAGGUAAAAAGUAAAUAAGCAAUUUAUCCUCUACUUUGUUAGAGUACAGAAAUAGUAUUUCAAAGCAACCACUAGCAGAAUAAAAGACUAUACUUAACUUUGAAAUCACCAGGAAAAAGGCUAGGAAAACAGCCCACAAAGCAAAAGACAAAAAGGAGGAGACAGAAAUAAGAACAUUUUUAAUUAAAAUUAAGCACAGAAAAAUUUUAAGUAGUUUGUAUUCAAGUCAGUUUUACUUAAAUUUUAUAACAUGCAAGCCCUGGUUAUUUUUAGUGAUUGGAAAUGUAGACAACUGGUGGUUUGCCCCUAGUCAAUGGGAAGUCCUGGCCCUUGAUACUCUGGCCCAGCAGUAAGAGCUUCUAUUAAACCUCUGCUCCUUGAACAAGGAACAAAUCUUACUUUGUAUUCCCCAAAAUGACUGCAAAGUAGGCAUUCAAUAGAUAGCUGUUGAAUGGAUUGGAGAUUUCUCCUAAACAUCAUGUUACAAUUCAACUGUUCUUUGAUGUACUGCAGUAGACAUUUUCAUGCCAUUCUUAAAUUUCUCAGUCUCCUGAUGCCAAAUUUUGUUUAGAGGUAGAGGCUGAAGGUUAUGCUUGCUUUGGUGGAGAGUAUAAAGACAAUAGUAUGUGUGUAGCGGGGAAUGAGGCAGUGGAUAUAAAGAAAAGAAAAGGUUAUUUGCACAUCCAUAAGUAAUAUGUAACGGUGGCAAUGAAUGGCUGGCUGGGGUGGGAUAGUGGUUCUGGUCAGCUCCGGGAACUUUGUUGGUCGGUCAUAGUGUGAUAAAAGAGUUCAGAACAGAUCUCAAAUUAGGUUUUGUUUGUUUUUGUCUUUAUAAUUUAGGAAAUUAGAAAUGAGUCCUACCUCAGGACCGCAAUCUGUCUUUUUCACUUUUUGGCUGUUAUGUUCUUCACCAAAUCACUCUUUGGGAAGUAAGCUGCAGAGUGAACUGAUGGAUGUCUAUGAAAAUAAACAUGCAUGACCCUGUAACAAAGCAUGUGUGUCCUCAAGAAGAUUGCAGGUGAUUUUCAGAUGAGUCUCAUGUCUGCACAGUGAGAAUUCAUAAAAUGAAGUGUUAACCAAUACUCAGAAAGUGAGUUCAGAGGGGGAAAUAACUGCUGCAGUACUGUGUGUGCUUGAUACACAUUAUGACAGGUAGGUAAUUAGAAGAGUCUUGUUACUGCAUCUAGUUUAGCAUACAUAAAUACAGUAAUUAGGUUGUUUUUUUAAAAAAGCAAUUUUGUCACAGAACGAUCCUUAGUAUGACGAAUCCAAUAUUUAAUAUUUUUUCCACCCCAAAAUGGAAUGUACAGUUUAGUACCAAGUGAAACCAUUCAGUCUUGGUUGAUUGAUAUUACUAUCAGAAUAAAUUAUUGGUUUUUUUGUUUAUAUAGGAGUUGAGGCAUUUCACUGCUGUAAAGUACUGUGCCUUCUUAAAAUGAUGAUGGAAUAUUGGAAUAUCAAAGACCCUAAACACAUUUUAUUCAUUUUAAAGACAUGUAAUCCUGCUGAUAUUUAAAGUCUAAUAUUUUAAUCAUAGGUCUGUCUCCAAAAGGAUGUCAUCUAAAAGCAAUUUUCAUAUUUUGUAUAGGGUUAUUGCUUUGUAUUGAUUUGGUUUAUAAAAAAGGGACAACAAUCCAUUUAGCAGUCAUGUAAUUCAAUUUUAAAUUAUAGGUUUCUUAAAACACAUCUGAUUCUGGAUAAUGAUAGGAUCUAGGAUAUGGAAGUAGUGAUGAGCCUUAAAAUGAAAAAAGACUACUAAUAAAGUGUUAAAGUUUGAUAAUUCAAUGAGGUUACAUUGCAGCAAUUAAGCAGGCAUGUUAUAUAAUGCCUAUUGUUGAGAAUGAGUUAGCCAUGACCUUUGCCCACUUUUAAAAAAAUACAAUGCUAAGCACAGAGCACAUGCUACAAAGAUGCUAAAGAAAAUUAUGAGAUUAAUGAUUGGUUUUUACACAUUAACCAUGUUGUAACAGCCUAAGUGCUACUGACGCUGUUCUGUCUUAGACUCAUCAAAUAAUUGGACCAAGUUUGAGGAAAUCAAUUUCUACUAAAUAGUUAACCAUAAGGUAUAUUUGUAUUAGCAAACAAAAUGCUUUCAAAAUGUUCCACUUUUGAAACUGUUUGAGUCUUUUAUGUUGACUCAAUGACUUUGUUUACAAAGGGAAACUGAAGUGGAGUUAAGCAAUUAUCUGGCAAAUUUGAUCACUGUACACAAUCACAGGGAAUACAACAAAUAAUAUUUUAGAAAAGUUGUUUGAUGACAUCACAGCUUCACUCCAUAGAUCUUUAGUAGUUUUGGGGUUUUUAUUUUUUGAGGAAUUGUUGGAAUUGCAAUAAUGCAUGUUUGCUUGCUUCCAUUUUUUCCCCUCCCCCCCAUAUUUGUAUCUCUAAAUAAUAUGUACAUGGUUAAGAAUUUAGUAAUUAUUAACCCUAUCUAUUCUUACAACACUUUAAGAAUUUGUAGACCUAUCUAGGUAGUCAGAAUACAUUUUGAGUUUCAGUUGAAUGUUUUACAUUCAUAUGGAAAACUCAGGGGCAAAAGUAAUUAUUUUAAAUAAUGGCAUACUUUGAAACAGUUGCUCAAGGCCAAGUUAUUUUCUAGCAGAUUUAUUAAGUUACUGCCCCGUAAACUUAACUGCCUAUUUAUUGGUCUAUAUUCAUAACAGUGUCUCUUAUUUCCUAGUCACCUCAAAUUAAAAGGAAUUUGUAAGGUACUUAUCUUGAAGCCAUAUUAGUUUGAGCAUUAAAUGUCUUUCAAAUAUUUUUUAAUCUCAUGAAUCCAUGCCCAAAGAACAGUAAGGAUGUGUAUGUAGCAAUAUAUUUUUAAAUAUUACCUGAAGAUUUUCCCCAGAUACCUCCCUUUACCUCAUGUCCUUUCUUCCAUUUUUUCAGUUCUUAUUCAGUCUCAUAAAAGGAAGAAAAAUAAGGAAUUUGCUUGGCUUUUGGAUUUCAACUGUUUCCCUUACUGGAAAAUGAAAAACAUGUGCAUAAACAAUACAGUAAAUUUAAAUGAUUGCAUAAGGAUCUCUAUAUGCCUGAAAGUCAUGCUUGAAAAGGCCUCCAGUUUGAACAAGAGACAACAUAGCAGUGACAUUCAUGGCCUGAUGUCCAAAGACCAGCAUAGAAAAAAAAAAGCCAUUACCCUUGCCCUGAAUAUGUGGGCUGAAAUUCAUUGUAACUGUGUACAGGAGAUUAGAGACAGAAGGCAAUAAGAAAGCACUGGAAGUGCUUGGUCCAGAAUCAUUUAAUAGUGUAUGGAUUAGAAAAGGAGGUGGUAGUUAGAUGGGAUUAAGAAACCGUGUUUGUUGCUAACAAGAACCCUAAAUUCUGCCACAAUACAGUGAGAGGAGACCAUGGUUUGAUCCCUAUUAACAGUAAUAGUGGAUACUGCUAAGAAAAACCCAGCUAAUUAUGCCGCCGCCUCCUCUGAAUCACUGCUGUCCCUACUGGUUUAGUUCCUUAGCAGAAACAAAGUAGUAAUAGACGAAUAAAUCUGCCCUGCUGCAGAAGUGCAUUAGAGAACAUGAAGGUAAUUUUAUUGGGUGAAAACCUGGAGAAUGGUUUUUUUAUAACCUUAAAAAAUCUUAUUGAGUGGCCUGAGUAAUUUUGUUACGAUUUACUCAGCCCUCCAUCCUUCCUGUAGGACUUGUGAAUGUCCUUGUUAACUAUUUAAAGAUGAUAAUGGUAGCUAACAAUUUUGUCAAGCAUUGAGUAUUCAUUUAAUCCUAACUCCAGUCUGAGGUAAUUGCUGUGAUAAUUAUUCCCAUUUUACAGAUAAGGAAACUGAGGCAGAGAGAGAUGUAGCGGACCAAGUUCACAAAGCUGAUAAAACAGAGGAACCAGGAUUUAAAUCUAGGUAGUUUGGCUCUAGCACAAGUUCUCUUAACUGCUGUAUUGCCUUUCAGUCCAGCUUAUACAUUUUGAUAACUAUGCUAACAAAAUCCAAGGAAAUAGCAACAAAAUAUUAACAUUAGUUAUCACUGAACAGAAAAAUUUGGAGUUUUAGUAUUUUGAGUUUAUACCUUUCCCAAAUGUUAUAGAAUAAUCGCAUUCCUGUUACGAUCAGAAAAAAAUACUUUAAAAUGAGCAUAAUUUUUAUGAAAACUAGGGAGAGAAUUACAUAAAAUAUUCUCACAAGAAAGACUGGGAGAAAUACAUGCAAAAAGGUCUGUUGCAGUGUUACCUGUGUAGUGAAAUUUUCAGUCAUUUUUUCUUCUGUACUUUAUUUUUUGGUAUUUGAUUUUAAACCUGUAGUUUUUUUUUUAAUGCUAAAAAAUAUACAAUCAUCUUUAUAUAAUCACUGAUUUCUGGAGAAAUUAUUUACCAAAAUGAUUCAGAAAACAUGGAAACUGUUAAGUGAGUUACCAAAAAAUAUUUUAAGAUGUAAUUAAAUGAUUCUAUCAAAGACAUUAGGCCUAGAGAAUCUGGGGUAUUUAAUUAUUUUAAAUUUCUGAAGUAUGAGCCAAUUCAAAUGAUGUUAUAUACUCUUGAAAAAGUAAAAACUUCCUAAUGCAUUUCCUUAAAUUAGCAUUAAAAUCUGAGAAAUAAGCAAAAAUAUAAUGGUCAUCUCACUUAUUACAGAUGCAAAAGAACUACAUAAAAAAUGCAAAUAACAGAAAUAAUAGUAAUAGUAUAUACUAAAAUAGCUGUUGUCCCCACCGUGAGUUAACUCUGCUUUGCUAGUGUUAAGAAACUCAAUUAAAUAGAAUGCAGAAAUAAUUGGCAUAAUUAUUGCUAACAUCCAAAAAUAUUGUCUUUGAAAACCCAAAGAAUUAUUAGAAAAAUUAGUACUGAUAGAGACCACAGUGAGGUAAUUUAACACAAAAAUUAAAUGUAAAAACCAAUGUUUUCCUUGAUACUAACAAAUAUAAGUUGCUCAAUAAAACAAAAAGACUGCAAAAUAUUAAGUUAUAAAGCACCUAGAAGAAAAUCUUGAGACAUAUGCAGAGUGAAAGGUAAAAAAUUUAUACUUCACUUUUUCAUAAACUUUUAAUGAAAUUCAAAAAAGGUGCAUAAAUAGAGUUUAUGCAUUCUAGCCAGGUUUUUUUGUGUGUGUGAGAAAACAGUACUAUGUCAGCCUUCCCAUACUAUGUUAUUCUGCUAACAUUGCUACAAUAAAAAGUCAGUGGAAUUUACUUUUGGUCUUGGAAAAAAAUAAUUCUAGUAUCUCUCUGGAAGAACAAACAGGUGAGAAGAUGAGUAGAUGUUAAAUAACAUAAGGACUAGACUAGCUAUUGAAUGUUUUCUGAAGCUACACUAAUAAAAUGGAAUGCCCUGGCAAUAAUCAAGAUAAAUCAAUGGGACAAAAUGAAUAGGCCUCAAACAGCCAUCAUUGUAUAUUGAGCCCCAAAAUAAUUUAAAAAUACCAGAACCAAAAUUAAAAUACACUAACGAAAAUGUGAAGUAAAUGUGAGAAGUAGCAUUAUUAAUUUUAAUACAUAAAGCCAUCAUAAUAAAAAUCAACGUUCUCUUAAGUGAACAGGCAAAACAGGUGUGGAUAUACAAGGAAAAUGAAACACAGAUGGCAGAUACAGAGUGCGUUGGUUGAAAAUGGCAGAAUUAGUGUCAGAUAAAAUGUUGAGGCAUACUUAUAUGACCAGAUACCUAGCGGUUAUUACUCGUUGGUAGAGGGAACAUGUUUUGAAAAUUCUUCAAUAUAUACUACUACAUUUUCUAUAUGUUUUUGUGGCAGAGACUGCUGUCAAUAUCCACGUCUCCCAUUCUUCAUUUAGGAACAGGAUCAACAAAGGUUUACCUGGGCACAGGGCUAUCCAGCUAGACUACAGGUUCCUUUGCAGUAGAGUGGCUAUGUGACUUGUUGCUAAAGCGAAUUUUAAAAAAGUGAUUAGGGAUGUGUGCGGUGUGGCUCAUGCCUGUAAUCCCAGCACUUGGGGAGGCCGAUGUGGGAGGACUGGCUUGAGCUCAGGAGUUUGAGACCAGCAUGGGCAACAUGGCAAGACUCCAUCUCUACAAAAAAUAGUUAGCUAAGUGUGGUGGUGUGUGCCUGUGGCCCCAGCUGCUUGGGAGGCUGAGGUGGGAGGAUUGCUUGAGCCUGGGGAGGUUGAACCUGGAGUGAGCCCUGUUCAUGCCACUGCACUCCAGCAUGGGUGACAGAGCAAGACCCUCUCUCAAAAAAAAAAAAAAAAAAAGUGCAACUUCCAGGUCACUUCAUUUGAAGUAAUGUUCUUGUCUUCCUCGAUUUCUUUUUCACUGUUUUUUGAAAUAUGGACCUGGUGCUAGGGAGUUGGCUUUAACUAUGCAGAGGAGCAGAGAGGAACUUGGGAGGAACUUGGGAGGUUGGGAGAACAACAGGGUGAAAGGAACCUUGAUUCCUAGAUGACCUUUUGGAGCAGAGCCUCCUACCUUAAAUAAGUUUGCCUUGAUAAUCAAAUCUGAGUCAAAUACCUACAUGCAAGUAGUUUAGAACUUAUCACAGGAGCAGGAAUAAGGGAGAAGGAAUGUGAAAUAGGAAGAGUUAUCAAGUUACAGUCACUGCUAUAGUUGUCUGGUGUUCCAUCCAAUGAAACCCUCUGACAACCCUUAUAGGUAGCCAGAACUACCUAGGGCUGAAAAGGGGAUAUCAUUUUUUCCAUUGGUUCUCAUCUCCCUACUGGUGAAAAUGGUUCCCCGGUGCUAACUACCCCACACUUUGGAUUGCACACAUACAUUUGUAUCUUUUGAGUUUCCUUGAGCAGAGAGAUACACAGCACAAAUCGAAGGUUAGGCAUUGUCUGGGUGCACUGUAAAGCCUGGUCAUUUUGUCUAGAACGCGUUGCCUAAGAAGGGGCUGGAAUAAGGGGUGUGAUCAUGGAGAUUUAAAAUGGUGCACAAUGGUGUUUAACACAGCGCACUUUCUGCUUCCACCACUCAGAUCUGCUCGUAUCCUGCAUUCAUUCACAGAGUUCCCUUCGAGUUGUGGCUGGCCACAAUCUUGGCAAGCGCUUAAUAUUAAGAAGCGCAUAAUAUUAAUAUUAUGUUCCUAUUACUGCAGCUAAUCCUACCUCUGUCACUAACAUUCAACAUUUCCUUCCUCUGCCAUGUUUUUAAAAUCUCUAGAUCUCCCUAUCUCUCAGCUAGCAUCUCAGCUGAUCUUGGUUGCUUGCUUGAUGGAAUCAUCGAGGCCCUCAUCCCUGAGAGACCCCUUACUUGCCAUAUCCUACUUGGCCUGCAGUUGCUAUGAUUGCCCAUUUGUCCUGAUCAGUGGGCAUAAAGGCACAAAGUAACAGCCUUGUGAAUCCCCUGCACUCAAUAUAUUCUCUUCACUCUCCUCGUUGUACACCAGCUACCAUAGCUCGUGGUGAUCAGAAUUACAUUCAGCAUUACAAUAACUUUCUUUUUUGGCCAAUUUGUUCCCAGCAUUAAGGAGCCAGGUUACUAGGUGGUAACUGUACCAUCAAGUUCACUGUAACCCUUGUGUCCUGAUAGAAGCAUUUCUCAUCCCACCCCACUUCCAGACCAGGACCUCAAAUAUGGCUGACAUAAAGUUUCAAAGUCAAAAGCGCGAAUUCUGCAAAUGGGUCACAGGGAGUAAUGGUUUGAGGGGUCAGUCCUACUUUCACCCUUUGAUAAAAUCUUGCUUUCACCUCAUGUUCUGAGGAUUUCUUGGUGAAAUCCUACUUUCACCUCAUGUUCUGAGCAACGUGUAUUCUAGUUUCAGAGUUACAGCACCAUAUAUUAGCCAUUGAUUUAGCACACAUGCCUCAUGUUGGAGUAUCCCAACCCAUCAAGGGUUGUGCCUUGAGCUGGAACUUAUCUGGGCCUUAAACAGGUUAUUAUGUUUAUUUUUACCAUCAUGAUUAGAUUUCUCAGUGAGGUGUAGUAUUUAAGACCAUUGGACAAUGUAUCAGUGGUCCUAACUUCUUUGCUGUAAAGUAAGUCUCUUGGUUUGAGUGAUGGAUGAGGUAUGAUGCUGAAUCUGAUGUUCUGUAAGACUUGACAUGGUGAAACUGUGGGCAGAGACAGCAAACUCCUAUCUAAGGAAGGUGUCUGCUUGAGGACAUAUUGUUGCUCCGUUAAGAGUUAAAGUCUGAGUCAAGGCAAUCAGCUUGUCUCCCAAGUGGUUGGCUAGUCUCUUGGUAUAUCAAAGGGGACCAGUACACCUCCUGGAGGCAGUCUGCCUACAUCUAGACUAUUAUGUGAGAGAAAUACACACUUACUUAUUGUUUGAAUCGCUGUUAUUUAUUAUAGUGUAUAACAAACUAAUGCAGACAUUAUUACCUGAAAUGAGGUGCUGCUGUAACAUAAACUUACAAUAUGAGGUAAUGACUGAUUGAUUGGAAAGUAGUUAGUAAAGAAACAGAUGUGGCAGGUUUGACAGUGAUUGUCAGAUAAGAAUUAGUCACUUUGCAAGCAGAAGUGAAAGGGAAUAUAGUUAAAAUGGAGGCUUUCUUAUAUAUAGUAUAAAUUCAUAUUUUUCUAAUUUGACAGUAUUAGGGGCUUUCAGGUUUGGCAAAGCCAACUUUUUCUGUUUCUCCCAAACCACAGGAGACAACAUUGUCCCUCAGGCAAAAGCCUCCUAUAUAUGUUCCCAGCCAGAAAGUGGGAGCCAGCCCUACAACAAUAGACUGAGGGCAUUCCAUUCUCACCUAAGUCUUUUUUUAGGUGGCCUUGAGGUAGCCACUCUAAAUUAAGGGAGAGCUGGGUAUACUGAAUGUAACAACCAGAAAAUAGAGUCUGAAAGCUUAAGAACUGUAACAACAUGUGAUCUUUGACUGAAGCCUCUUUAACAUGGACAUGAGUGGAAACAAGGAGACGAGGAGCCUACUAAAUUUGGGGGAACAUUGUUUGCCAAGGAAAUCACAAACAUGGUGCCUGACCCAGCAAUCUCCAACUGGAAACUGUACCAGCAGAAAGCAUACUGCAAAAGCCAUGCAGUCACCAACAGGGUAACUCCCAACCACUCACUUCAGAUGUGUGCCACUUACCAUCUUAUGCCUCCCCACUCUAAUAAAUUCAUCUUUUAUGGCCUGCACUGCAGAAAUGGAGGUUACCCUUUAAAUAUUUUUCUCCUGCCAGUUGGUACAGUGUUAAACUCUGUCAACAGAAGGUGCUGGAAAGAGAUUGCAGAAGGAAAGGGUUUUCUUUCCAGCUUUGGUGUGCUCAACUGGCAGGCUCUUUUAGCACGUGUGGCUUCUCCAUUGCUUGGUUCCUACGGAGUAUGGCAAUCAGCAGCACUGAGAGGCAGCAGCUUCCUCAGGCAGGUUCAUAGUGAUGUUCCUAUAGCAAGACACCACCUCAUGAACAGCUAUUUUUAGCACCCUAGAGGGUGGAUUUCUGGUAAAUUUCACUGAGUCAACCCUGCAGUGGCUUCUCUGACAUUCAAUGAGCCAUGGUCUCUCCACUGAGGUCUACAUUUCAGUCCCUGGGGGCUUCUUCCUUGGAGUUCUAUCUCAGCCCUAAGGAUAGUGACUGCUCCUUAUAUAAACAAUUCCUAUUAUUUAGUUCUCUUUUAUUCUUAUUAGCCAAAUUCUCGUGAUUACAAAUCCCUGUUAUAGUUAGUAAUUUAUAGUAAACUUUCCUUGUUCAAAUUACUCUGUGGUUUCUCUUCUGAUUCGACCCAGACUGAUAUAAGGUGACACCACAGUAGAAAAUGGAUAAUGGGCAAAAAUGACUCACAAGGGGUAAACCCACUGGCCAUGGGGGUGGGGCACAGUAGAUAAAGGAGUUCCUUCCAGAGAUCAGAACCAGAGCCUAACCAAGGAAUUUACUGUAUUCUUGGGAAGGAAGCCUUUUGAAUUCCUGCCAAACAAUGUCAUAGUGAUUACUAUGUUUCCUAGUCUUUCUUUCCAGAAUUGUAGUGUUUAUUCCGUUUCUUUAUCCUACUCCACCAUUUUGCAUUGAGAUAUAUGGGAUUGUAAGUAACUUGUAUAUUAGAUAAUAAACCACUAAUUUCUGAAGAGCUAGUUUUAGAUCAGGUGGAGAGAAAUAAAGAUCUCAGAUUUUGAUCUGGGAACAAUAACUGGAUAAGCUUUAAUUGCAUUUUUAGGAGAGAACCUGCUGUGUUCUUUGUAUGGGAAGAUGGUGCAUGUGGAUCCUUGGCAGCUCAAGGCCAAAGGCAGAGACUUCUAGUCUUUCUCUAAUAUACUUUCCCUGUUUUCCUUUAAUAGUAAAGCUUCUCAAGUUCUUGCUGAGUGUUUGCCCAGCAAGACACUAUAGUUUCCAAGUUUUCUAUGUGGAUAUGUAACGCUGGGUUCUUGACAAUGCAAUGUAAGGGGAACUGAUAUAUGCAAUAUCCCAGUCUUGCUCCCUGCUCUCUUUUUUCUCCUUUCCUUAGUUUUGGGUAGACACAGUGCUGGUGAGCCAGUUUUUAAUAUGUAGUCAAGAGGAAGCUCUUGAGGGGUUCAAAGAGCCCCACAUAGAAAACCUGGGUUCCUUACUGUACCCUUGGGAAGCAGAGUCUCCUGCUUGCCCUGAAUCCCCUGCCUUCCUCUGGACCGAUAUGUGAGAGAAUAAAAUUCUUUUUUUUUUUUUUUCCUUCGAGCUAUUGUAUUCUUGGUCUUUUUGUUAUAUCAGCUUAACCUGUUCCCUAACUAAAACAGUCUUCUUUCUCAUAUUCCUUUCAAAUUAAGUAUUUUAUUUAUGACGUGCAACUUUUACAGGAUUUCUUUCCCUUGAGCCUCCUCCUCCCAUUUUUUUGCAGAGAGAAGAGUUUGCAGAAAUCUUUGGCUUCAUCUCAUUACUCUUUACUGUCAUUGCCUGCAGGCAGAGCCCAUAAUGUAAAUGUAAAAUUGUGUUUUGCAUAAGUUCCCUUGAGUAUGUAAUUAUAAUGCAUUCCAGGGUGCGCCUAAAUAAGAAGACUCUGCUUCUUCUCCAUCCUAAGAUUGCUUUUGGUGUCAAUCACAUGGUAAGAUAUAGACAGAGGCAAUAGCAGUAGUAACUAACACUGAAUGAGGCAGAGUACAGAAUAAAACAUUAUCCAUUUUCAUUGCUGAUGAUCUGGGGAGGAUUCACAUAAUAUAGAGGCCCUAAGGGUGGAGUGGGAAAAUUCUAAUAUAAUUUGGAGGUGUGCAAAAUAUUUCAUAAUGAAAUAGCAUUUUUGUUCAUCUUCAAAAGCACUGUGACUUAGUUCUGUUUUAUACUGAACACAGACAAUUUACACAUCAGUAUUUUCUGUUAUAUCACAAAUACUGAACAAAGUGUCAGAUACUAGUUUCGAUUAUUAUGUAACCACUAACAACUAACUGUAUAACACAUAUAAAAAUCCUUUAUAUAAAUAUGCUAAAACCAUUUUUAAUAUAAACAUCUAUAUACUAAAAUUUUAAAAUAUGCAUACAAAAGCAGUGAUUAUAAAAGUGAUUGUUGAUCAACUAUUUUAUUGACCCAAUUAAAAAAUAUGUAUUUCAAAACUAUUAUAUGAAGCAAAGGUUGAAAAUAGAUUAUCUUAAUUGUAUUUUAAAACACAUAUCACAAGAUGUGGAGAAAUUUGGAUUUAGAACCUUUAUAUAGGAGAAAGUAGUUUGUGAAUAAUUUAGAAAAAUUAUUUGCACAACUAAAAUAAAUAACUUUAAAUUCUAAAAUAAAUACAUUUAAUUGCUGACAUUAACUUAAUGCCUUCUGUAAACAUAUUUUAGAAAAGUAAAGGGUUAUAAUUGAUACUAGAAUUGGGAAUCAAAUUAAGGAAAAAAUUAGAAAUAAAACAUUUUAAAUGUUUAAUUAAUUUAAACCACUUCGACAAUUUUUGCCAUAUCCAUUUAACACCUAAAAUAAUCAUUUUAUUAUAUUUCAUUUCAUUUUUACUUAAAUAUAUUUGAUUUUUUAGAAAAUAGCAUCAUGGCUUUACUUGACAUAAAUACUUUACUCAACACAUAUCAUUUUCUUUAAAUAGAAAGGACAGACACAUUUAUAUACAUUCAAAUAAAUACCUACUUAAGUAAAAAUGUUCUUAGAUGUGCUAUCUAUAAAAUCAUCUCACAUGGCCCACAUACCACACUUUGAUUCAUGAUUGAGAUGGCAUUGCAGUAUAUAAAAUCUUCUAGUAUUCAGGGCAUCAAUAAAUUUAAAAUCUAUACUUAAAGUCUCAUUGCAGCAAAAGUGUGUUCAUGCCCUACUCAGUCCAUCAGUCAGUGCUAACAAUAAGUAUGUAAUAGAUAGGUCUCUUUUUCAUCAUUUUCAGAUACUAACACUCUAGAGCAAACCAAUACAACUCAUACUGUGUACAGAAGUAUGCUGUUAUUCAUAAGGUUAACUUCACUCCCUAAAUAAAUGCUCAGAAAUCACAUUUAUCAUAGUUAAAGAGAUAAAGGCAAAUGGUAAGGGCUACCAAUAAACUCCAUCUCUAAAAUUGAAUAUGUUCAGUAGCAAUUAUGUUAUUAAAAAUGCUUUUUUAUGCCCAACUUUUCAGGAAUGUUAUAUUUGCCCAACACAAUUUAAUAAUAUACUUUACAAUUAUCUUUGUGAGAAAAUAAUUAUCAGCAUGGUCUUUAACACAUUUUUUAGGUUUUUGUGAUUAUGUUUGUGCUUUUCAGGUAUUUGUAAAUUGCAUUUGCACACAGAAUUCUCAAAAAUUCAAAUCCAUUUGUUGGUCAGUAAGUACAACAAUAAGAAUGCCAGCUUAUUCCACAAAAUAUAGUUUACCAUUUUAUUUGACUAUUACACAUCUUAGGGAAGUGAUUUGGAUUUAGAGAGAAAAUAUUGAGGUAGGGUUUUUCUAUCAUACAAUGUCUUGGAUUACCAUCUGCUUACAAACAUGAUUAUGGACCCAAAUGCUGAGAGGAACUGAGCUUCAAACUCAUAGAAUUCUUGGAGUUUUGCCCAGAUCAAAUGUGCUUGAUGAGUUUGGACACUAUACAUGCUUUUAACAUACUAAAGCUGAAUGAUAAAACCUCAGUACUCCGUAAAUCUGAAUACUUUGUGAACCCACAGGAGUUGUUCAGGGUACGGUAUGACUUCUAUUGGACAAUCUGUGCCCAAAAACUCCUCUAUGUUCUGUCAACCCAUGCUUUCCCAGUGCACUGAAAGGGAUUUGUUUGGCCACAUUUGGAGGUGUAUUCAUUUUCUACUGCUAGGUAAUGGAUGACUACAAAUUGAGCAACAUGUAACAACAUCCAUUUAGCUCAGUUCUGUGGGUCAGAAGUCCAGGCAAUUCAAGGCUGGAUUCUGCUCAGGUUAACAUCAGGGUGUCAGCCAGCUGCGUUUUCACAUGGAGUUGAGUGUUCUUUUCCUAAUUCGUUGUUGUCACUGGGAUAAUUUAGGUCUUUGCAGUUGUGGCAUCAAAAUCCCUGUUUCCCUGCUGGCUAUCAGCUGGGACCAGCUCUAAGCUCCUAGAGACUACUCUCACUUCCUUACCAAGAGGUCCCUUCCGUCUCAGCAACUAAAAUGCCCUUUGAAUCUCUCCAACUUCCCCUGCUAUGACCAGCCAGAGAAAACUAUGUUUUAAAGGGUCAUUUGAUGAGGUCUCAACCUCCAAGAGGAUGUCUCCAUCUCAGGGUUAAUGGUAUCAUUUAACCUAACCUAAUCAUGUAAAAGACAUCAAAUUUACAGUUCUGAGGAUUAUGUAGUGUGAGUACACCUGGGACAGGGAAUACUGGGGGACAUCUUAGAGUCCUGACUAUGACAGAGACCUGUUAUUUUCACUUUCAGCUUUUCACAUUUCUUUGGUUCUGUCUUCACAUUCAACCUUUCGUUUUUCUAUAUUUUUUCCCCAAAAGAAACUCAGAAAAACUCCAAUUGUCACAAAAUUAGUCUACAUGUAAGAGUGUAAAGGAAUACACAUAUACAUAAAAGAUGCGUGUUUCUGAGCCUGCAAACAUGUUUCAAGGUGAUACCAAAUAAACUUUGAUGCUAUUCAUCUGGCUCAUUGCAUACAUGGCUUCAACAAAAUCAUCACUUUAUGAAGAAGCAUUUUUGUGACAUGAGAAUAGCUGACUAUAGUUAUAAUAAUGAGGAUAUUAUGAAUUCAAUGAAAUUUCUUCCUAAUAACAGGCCUGCUGUGUAAGCAAGUAACAGGUUUAUUUCAAUGCUAAUAUUUAUUUAUUUGUAGAUGUUCUUUCUACAAAUUAAAUUUUUUGGGUUCUAUGAGAGUAGUAUGCAAAUAGUGAAAAACUGAAAUAAUUAUUGGUGAUUCGCUUGUGUCCACCUAUCCUGAAAUGCCUUAACUCCCCUUCCUUACCUUAGUACCAAUUGGAUUCUUAUAGUAACUAACUCUGAGCCAAAAGCUUUGAUUUAUCAAAGCAUCGAUGAAAAAAAUACUUAUCAAGAACAUAAAUAAGGACUUUGGAGGAGCUCACUAAACACCCAGAAAUUUAUUACCAAAUUCCAAAUGGCUAAUUUUAAACCAGGAUAAAGACCAAUGAGUGAAAAUAAGAUAUGCAGUGACAUAGUGUAUUUUAGUGGGAAGAAUAAUAAAAAGACCUCUGGAUAAGCUAUUUUAUUAACUUAUCUGAAUCUCAGUUGUUUUUCACUAUAAGAGCAGGGUCAUGUCCCAACUUCAUUGAGUUGUGAGAAUUAUUUAUUAAAUGUGUAUAGUUUGUAAUGUGUUCAGUAAAUACCUGUCUUGUCUGAAAGUGAAUAAAUUAAUACAUUCUUAACUUACUUUAAAAUGGGAGAAGCCACAGUUUAAAAGGAAAGAGAACGUGACAUAGACUUAGUUUGAUUUUUAAAAAUUUGUAGAUUCAGCUACAAAUACACAAAAACUGCAACAGAGAUAGGAUAACUAAAAUAAUACUGGAAUACUUAAAUAACACUAGAGUAACUUUAUGGUUUUGAAACAGAGGGCAUUUAACCAUGGACUUAGUUUAGGUGGUGGAAUAGUUGAGAGAAGUCAGAUGGGAUGGUAUGUCAACCCAGAAAUUAGCAACAGCGGGGGGUGGGGCACCAUCUCCCUACAAUGGAGGAAGAAAGGGAGAAUGGAGAAUGGAGUGUUCCUGAAACCCAGGUGAUAGGGUCAUGAAGGAAAUGCAGCUACUGGCCAGAGAUUCUACCCAAGGCAGAGGGAGGAGUACCCUCGCUCCUUGCUUCCAACAAAAGGUAGAUGACAUAGGAUCCUGAUGAAGAGACCACCAAAUUUAGAAGAGCAAAAAGGCAACGAGCAUUUCUGAGGGCAAACAGGCCAUGAACCAGCAUUUUAAUUGGUGGAACUAAGAGAAAACUAAUGGACCAGCAAUUCAGAUUUUAGGUAAUACUGUAUUGAUUAAUUUCUUCCACUUGUCUUAAGUCCAUUCUCAGAGCUUCAGAACCACCAACAACAAAAAGAGAGCUGUCAAAGAUGGAGACUUAUUCCCUAAACUCCUCUCUAACAAGGCUGUAGUGGGGUAGAGGGUGGCGGGGAGUUUGGGGAAGUAUAACUGGUGGCCCAAGUUUGGCAGGCUGAGGAACAGUGAUCAGAAAUAUGGGCCUUGCUCUUCCUGGCCACAGGGUGGUGGUAUAAGGUAUGAAACCACUAUUGUCUUACUUUCACUUUUUUCAAAUACUGGUUAAUUUUGCCUGUCUUCAUCACUGCAUGUUUGGUAUUUUGGAAGGUAGAAGAGUAUGUUUUCCAAAGGUGAUCACAAUAAUCUAUAUCCCAUCCUUUGUGCUCUUAUUAUGGUGCAAUGUUGACACUUGUCCAUCAGUAGGUGUACAGGUCUAUAUUUUCUCUUUGAAUCUGGGUAGGUCAGUGGCCAUGGAAAAGGUGACACUGUGUGACUUUUGAGAUAAAAGGGAUGAGGCUUCUGCUUGAUUCUCUUAAGGUGGAACCAAGCCACCAUGCGCUGAGGAAGCUAAGUAUCCACAUGAAGAACCCGUGUGCUAGGAUUCUGGUCAUGACCGCAGCAGAGGUCCUACUGAGAGUCAGCAUCAACUAAAUGUUAAUAACUGAGCCUUCAGAUGAUGCCAGCCAUCAGUUUUCAAGCUGUUUCAGCUAACUCCAACAGGAGCAUGGAUAACGUGUCCCCACCAAGCCCUGCCCAAAUUGCACAUUUAUGAACAGAAUGAAUGUCAUUGAUUUAAGUCACUAGUUUUAGAGUAGCCUGUGACUCAACAAUAGAUAACCAGAACACAGGAGGGUUAAACUUACAAUUUAGUCAACCUUUGCCACACAUGACAAGUCACAUGCUCAUCAGAAUAAGAAAAAUGUGCUUCUCUAGAGAUCCUGGACAUACAGUUUUACAGAGUAGCUGGAUUUGAUUUUGUGUUGCUGGCCUCUGGGGAAGUGUAAGCACAUUUUCAGUUAUAAGUGGGAUAAUGGUAUUUACUAUAUUAGGAAGAGGAAAUGUGGGAAUUGUUUGUGCGUGUCUAAAAUGAUGCUAAAACUGGAUCUUUCCUGUCUCCGUUCUGACAGAGCCAUCAGUGAUCAAUAUCAGGAUAUCUUAAUGAGAGCAGAUGAUCCCAACUUCAUGUUCAUGCAUUCAACAUGGAGUGCCUAUUACAUGACACUUGUUAGUCCAUGUGCUGAGGAUGGAGCAAUAAACAAACCUGUUUAAGCUUUCUGCCCUCAUGAAGCUGACAUAUGCAGAAUUAGAAAGAAAAGGGCUCUACUGAGUAAAAUUGGUUAAGUGAUUUUACUGGACAGAGUUGUUAUUAUGUAUAUUGGCCAGAAGAGGCCAGGUAACAAAUAUGCACAGACGGUACAGAAGUGGGACAUGUGUAGGAUGUCAUGGAUCUUGUCUAAUAAGAGCCAAGAAACCUCAGCAGAAAAAAACGAAGAUAGCAGCCAGGUGCAGUGGUUUACACCUGGGAUCCAGUGCGUUGGGAGGCCAAGGCAGGAGGAUUGCUUGAGGCUAGGAGUUCAAGGCCUGCCUGGGCAACACAGCAAGUCCCUCUUUCUACAAAAAAAGAAAAAGAAUGAAGAUGAACACAUAUAGGCCUAAAGUUAUUGAAACUGGCAGAAGACAAUGUGAAAUAGACAUCUGCCUGAACAGGGCACUGUAGGAGACAGUCUGUCAUGGACUCCCUGAAGAGAAAAAGGGUGAAGGCAGAGAGCUGAGGGACACACCCUCUUUCCUCCCACUUCUCCUCACCUUGGCUUCCCUAUGGCAUACCUCCGGAGAGAGAGGCUCCAAGCUUAGGAUAAAAGAACUUUUGAUGAUAAAUCAAGUUUGAAAUUGUGUUUAAUAUUUUAUACUGGACAUUCCAAUUUUUAAGUCAAAACUGUGUUUACCAUUAACUGAAGAACUUUUUAUUUUCUGAGUAACCACAAAAAUCAUGGGCCUGCCCAAGUAUUCUUUCAGGAUAAGGGAAGAAAACCUAAACUGAUUACAUUUAAACCAGGGUACAAGAUGCAACUUAAUCUUCCCUGUGAUCACAGUCCUUGUGUUGUGCUUGCUUUGGGAGGCCAAGGCGGGCGGAUCAGUAGAUCAGGAGAUCGAGACCAUCCUGGCUAACAUGGUGAAACCCCAUCUCUACUAAAAAUACAAAAAAAUUAGCUGGGCGUGGUGGCGGGCGCCUGUAGUCCCAGGUAUUCGGGAGGCUGAGGCAGGAGAAUGGCGUGAACCCGGGAGGUGGAGCUUGCAGUGAGCCGAGAUUGCACCACUGCACUCCAGCCUGGGAGACAAAGCGAGACUCCGUCUCAAAAAAAAAAAAAGGGUGUGUUUUUCCUAGGUAGACUGUGGAUACAUCUGUACUUUUCCUACUUGAUUUCUGGUAAGAGAACUCCAUUUAAAUGUGGGGAAUGAGUGAGACAGACAGAGAUCAUCCCAAUCAUCUCUGGUCAUGACAGUGGAUAUCUGACCAGUCUGAGUGAGAAUGAUGGGUAGUGGCAUAAGCAUUUGACACAAGAAUUCAUGAGACUCUGCUUCCACAACUGUUGGGG
Molecule: long non-coding RNA, 28355 nt
Filed under: Homo sapiens (human)
Lineage: Eukaryota; Metazoa; Chordata; Mammalia; Primates; Hominidae
Description: non-protein coding MIR17HG:19
Rfam family: mir-19 microRNA precursor family (bases 1855-1933)
Source: RNAcentral